Molecule: long non-coding RNA, 1062 nt
Filed under: Felis catus (domestic cat)
Lineage: Eukaryota; Metazoa; Chordata; Mammalia; Carnivora; Felidae
Description: lncRNA (ENSFCAG00000051638.1)
Source: RNAcentral
AAGUAUGGGUUAUCAUGACAGAUCUUUGGAAGUUCCUUCCACACACACACACACUAUAAAAAGUUUUUAAGUCCUAGACCAAGUCUGUCCAAUAGAACUUUUGCAGCAAGGAAAAUAUUCUAUAUCUGUGCUGCCCAACACAGAAGUGACAGGCCACCACGUAGCUACUGAGGUGUGGUUCAUGCAACCGGUUAACUAUAUUUUCUAUUUUAUUUAAUUUUAAUUCCAAUAUCCACAUGUAGCUACUGGCUAUUGUAUUAGACUGCAUAGUCCUAAACAAUAGCUAACAUUCCAGAGUUUAUAGUUGCACUUUAUAGUUCCAAAAGUGUGUCAAGACGAAUUACGUAAUUGUUCUUUUUGUUUAGUCUGUGGUGUUUACAUCUGUCCCAGGCCAACAACUGCUCUUGGCUAGCCCUCUUGGGUAUGGGCUUUAAUCCCACUACCACAAACAUCUGCUUUAUAAAUAAUAAUGCUUAAGAUGCCUGAUAGAAUCUGAUUUUGCAGCCAAAGGAAUCCUUUCCACUAACUACAAAAGAAAUCCUUUUUCUCUCUAGACAUUGUAAUUGGCAUCUAGUUAGAAUCACUCUAUAUAUAAUCUUGGGAAAUAAACAGCCACUGAUGGUUAACAAGUAGCUCAUAUUGUUAGUAGUUCAUAUUGUACUUGAUAAGCAAUAUUCCGAUUAAUAAUUUUUGUUUGUUCAGAAUUGGCAGUGGAGAUUGGACCCCGGCUCCAUGAGGGCCUCGUACUGAAGCAGGAUAAGGUGAGGAGAGCCUCAUCUGGGGUGAUGGAGGUGGGGAGGGAAGUCAGGGGUCAGGAGACCCUUUGGAGAAAAACACACCCAGCAGUACCUGAGGAGUGGCCUAGGAUGGGAGGAGUGGGGGUGGGGUGAAUUCUAGUUUCCAGCAUUACUGACAACUGAGGGGAAACUGGCUUCCUGACUUAGGGGUGAGGAGGGAGCAUAUGUGGGCUUGGGCUGGUGUUGAGCAUGAGGUGCUGGAGAGGCAGCAGAUAUAGCAGUCCAAUGGGGGCCUGAGAUAGCCGGGACUGCAGAUCAGUGGGGG